Pelobates cultripes (western spadefoot toad) is the source of this 288-nucleotide non-coding RNA. NCBI's taxonomy places the organism in Eukaryota, Metazoa, Chordata, Amphibia, Anura, Pelobatidae. The record is from the annotation of a GenBank genome assembly.
CCAGGCUGUAAGAUCUGAUUGGAUUUCUUUUUGUAAGUUAGGGAAGUUGCUUUCGAAUAGGCGUGUUGUAUCCCUAGUGAUGUGUAUCCCUAGAUAUUUAAUGCUAUGGGGGGCCCACGUAAAUUGAUAUUCAUGUUUCAAUGUUGUUGCGAUGCGUGCCUGCACGUUUAUUGGGAGGAUUUGCCUUAAAGUUGGAUAUAUUACUGUAUGUAUUAAUUUCUUCCAUCAGGUGUGGGAGUGAGUCUAGCUGGUGUGUGAUUGAAAAAAGCAUAUCGUCCGCAAAUGCUG